Molecule: non-coding RNA, 1608 nt
Organism: Nothobranchius furzeri (turquoise killifish)
Lineage: Eukaryota; Metazoa; Chordata; Actinopteri; Cyprinodontiformes; Nothobranchiidae
Source: RefSeq, a predicted model, not a curated record
UGCCGCUCUAAAAAUGGUCCCAUCCCGGAAGUAAGAAAAAUUGCAGUUCCACCCUCAUCCGCUGGGGGCUGGUACCAGAAGCGAGCAAAUCCUCAUUGACCCCCAUGUUAAAAAUGCCAUUUUCACAGCAGAAAUAAACAUGUUUACAGCCUGGUUCAAAAAAUGGUUUUUUGUCUAAAUUAUCUAGUUUAUACUCAUGACAACUCUGAGGGGGGUGAAUUUUUUUCUCACUCUUCUGUUUAAGUGUAUUGAAAGCCUAAAAUUCUGUAUAAUUAAUGAGCAUCCGACACACGUGACCGCCGCCUCAGACCCACGUGACCACAUAGCUAGCUCCGUGGAAAGGCCUCAGUACAGCCUCGGUCUCUCCUGGAAACUGUGUCGGGAUUUUGAGUCUCUGUGCUUGUGAAUUCUGUUUUGGAUAAUAUUGGUGCAAUUGUUGGACAAAAUGACUUGCAGUGGUAUUAAUUGCACUAAUAGAGCGUCCAAGGAGUCUCCACUUCAUUUUUUUCGGGAAGGACCUGAUUGGUGUCCAGAACCUGCUGAAGAAGCACCAGGCUCUGCAGGCUGAGAUCACAGGUCAUGAACCUCGCAUCAAGGCUGUCACCCAGAAAGGAGAGACCAUGGUGGAAGAAGGUCACUUCGCUGGUGAGGAAGUGAAGACUAAACUGUGGGAGCUUCAUGGACGUUGGGACACGCUGAAGGCCAAGGCGUCCCAGAGGAGGCAGGACCUGGAGGACUCUCUGCAGGCCCAGCAGUACUUUGCGGAUGCUAAUGAGGCCGAGUCCUGGAUGAGGGAGAAGGAGCCCAUCGUUGGAAGUCCAGACUAAGGGAAAGACGAGGACUUGGCCGAGGCUCUCCUGAAGAAGCACGAGGCCCUGAUGUCGGACCUGUCGGCUUACGGCAGCAGCAUCCAGGCCCUGAAGGAGCAGGCCCAGUCCUGCAGGCAACAAGGUGAUCAGCAGGUGCUUUUGUCCUGCAGGACCUGAAGGCCAACGAGUCCCGCCUGAGGGACAUCAACAAGGUGGCAUCUGAACUGGAGUCAGAAGGUCUGAUGGCUGAGGAGGCUCCUAUGGUUCAGGCUCAGCAACAAGAACAUCUGGGUUCUGCUCCUGGAAAGGAUGAAGCCGACUCUAACACGGCGUCACCCUGGAAGGUGAGUUCAUUCAGCUGAUCAGAGGUCACCUCUGAUGGCAGCAGUCACGGCCGACCGUGCUGACAUCACACAGGAAUUCAGGUGACCCGGCAGGCACCAGGUGCUGGUGAAAGUGGGGACAUGUCAGCUGGUUGCCAUGGCUACAGUUAUCUUUAUGCAUCUGUAUGACUGCUGACUGGUGUGUGUUUCCUGUGACCUUUGACCUCAGACCGUACGGUUGGGCGUUCAGACGACGGCUAUCUUUAAUUCCAUCAAGGUAAGAGGAAGCUCUUCCCUUCCUGUCUGAGCGAUCCGUCUCCAGGUUUCCUCGUCCGGCGUCCAGCCCGCUGGCAUCCACCUUCAUCUCACCUUCAUCUCAUCUCACUUCAUUUAUAGUGCAAUACUUUCACAUUAUCAUUUUCCCACACUUCUGUAUACCUGUAUUUUGUUGUUUUUCAAUAAAGAAUGACAAAUUA